CAAAAACAUUUUGAACUAUUUCGAUUUAUCCGCGUCGAAAAGUUCGUUCCACGUCGCGACACGACGUAUCUCGUGAUAAACUUUCGAUCGUAAAGUGUAUUUUCGCGAAAUCGUGCCUCGGAUUGUGUAAAUUGUAUAUUUUGUGCUAGUGAUAUCGUAGUGACAAUUCAGAAAUAUUGGGCAAAAUUUUUAUCUUUAUCACACAGGUCCUCGUUAGAAAACGGUCAACCGUCGAUGCAAGAAUAUAGAACGAGAAUGCCCGCAUGGAAUUCCCUGAAUCUCGCAACUAUGCACGCGCAAUACUGUGAGUGUCACCUAUAUGCCGGAGAAUGCGAUUACAUUUGUGAAAAAGGAAAACCUCUAUUUUCGAGGCCAAUACACGCGAGGGGCGUGUAAUUCGUCGUGUAAGCACGUC
This is a long non-coding RNA of Pseudomyrmex gracilis, 415 nucleotides long. RefSeq lists it as uncharacterized. The record is from RefSeq and is a predicted model, not a curated record. Lineage: Eukaryota; Metazoa; Arthropoda; Insecta; Hymenoptera; Formicidae. The transcript has 3 exons.